AUACGUAGGGGGCGAGCGUUAUCCGGAAUUAUUGGGCGUAAAGAGUACGUAGGUGGUCCGUUAAGCGAGUGGUGAAAGCCCGGGGCUCGACUCCGGCGAGCCAUUCGAACUGGCGGACUUGAGUGCAGGAGGGGAAAGUGGAAUUCUUGGUGGAGCGGUGACGUGCGUAGAUAUCAGGAGGAACACCGGUGGCGAAGGCGACUUUCUGGACUGUAACUGACACUGAGGUACGAAAGCGUGGGGAGCAAACAGGAUUAGAUACCCUAGUAGUCCACGCUGUAAACGAUGAGCACUAGGUGUUGGGGCAGCAAUGUCUCGGUGCCGCAGUUAACGCAAUAAGUGCUCCGCCUGGGGAGUACGCACGCAAGGGUGAAACUCAAAUGAAUUGACGGGG
Molecule: ribosomal RNA, 394 nt
Filed under: uncultured bacterium
Lineage: Bacteria
Description: partial 16S ribosomal RNA
Rfam family: Bacterial small subunit ribosomal RNA
Source: RNAcentral